RNAcentral lists this long non-coding RNA (855 nucleotides) under Triticum aestivum (bread wheat). RNAcentral describes it as "long non-coding RNA (TAES_LNC024888)". The record is from RNAcentral. Lineage: Eukaryota; Viridiplantae; Streptophyta; Magnoliopsida; Poales; Poaceae.
CUUACGUUGGGGUACCAUUCAUACAAAUGUGAUUGCUUAGGGAAAUGCUAAUUAGAAUUUAUAGAUAACAUAUACACAAUCAUUCGGGUAAACAAUUUGGCCAUUUUCCUCAUACUUAGCACUAUCAUAAUAGUGUAUGCAAUAAUGACAAGUAUUCUGUGAGACUACAUGUGUUGCAUAUUAUAUCUAGUAUAGAUCUAGCACCAAUGGAGAUUUGUAUGGCUCCAUGUUUGGAUGUGUUCUAUUUUUGUGUUUUUCCUGCUUUGCUCGAGUGUGUUAAUCCCCUUCAUAAAUGAACCUGAAUCAUGAACAUAAAAAUGGAGUCUGAACUAUUCCUCAUGGAUGAGUUCUAGCUAUGCACAUGAACAAAGUUGCAAGAAUUAGAGAAGCAGGAUGAGUGAGAUAGGGGCUGAGGGAUCAAUAAUGAAUAAAGAAUGUUCUGCUGCAUUUAAAAGAUGCUGGGGGACUUUAUGUUCUGUCAGCCAUUCACAACAAAAUUUGCUGCUCCUAAAUGGAUGUGGCCAGGCUGAAACGUUUCUGCUGGUUGGCUUGUGGGCGGGGACCGACAGAGUUAUUCAAUGCUACACUACCUGGGCUCUGCACUUGCACCAACAUUGUCAAAAUGAGAAAUAUAUAAAUGUUGAUAUACUACAGGAUUUAUCACUUAUGUUUUAUUUGUGCACCCCAUGUUAAACAACUUGCGCCACAUCCUUUUACUGCCCUAUAGGAACAUUGUUAGCCAUUUUUUUUGUUAAGUGUUCUGUGCUGGGUUUUUCCCUGCCUUUUUGUAAUUAACCAUGACAUAGCACAUUGUAUUUGGUUGAUACUUAUUCUUUGUUUCCCUUUGAACAAAAG